CAGUCCUUUUGUUAUGGUUGAAGUGUGGAUCUUCAGUGAAAACAAUAAUGCAUCCCUUAAGUGUUUUGCUAGUGGUACUCUGGCUUCAACUGAGGGUGGUAAGGAGCCAGCAGAAGGUGCAGCAGAACCCAGAAUCCCUCAGUGUCUCAGAUGGAGCCAUGGCCUCUCUCAACUGCACUUUCAGUGAUAGUGCUUCUCAGUACUUUUGGUGGUACAGACAGAAUCCUGGGAAAGAACCCGAGGCUCUGAUGUCCAUCAUCUCCAAUGGUGAAAAGAAAAAAGGCAGAUUCACAGUUCAGCUCAAUAAAUCCAGCCUGCUUGUUUCCCUGCACAUCAGAGACUCCCAGCCCAGUGACACAGCUGUCUACCUCUGUGCAGUGAGCACACAGUGCUCCCCAGUACACCUGCAGCCUGUACCCAAACCUACAGGGCCCCAGCAAAAGCUGAGCUAG
Molecule: non-coding RNA, 452 nt
Organism: Arvicola amphibius (Eurasian water vole)
Lineage: Eukaryota; Metazoa; Chordata; Mammalia; Rodentia; Cricetidae
Source: the annotation of a RefSeq genome assembly